GCCCAUCAUGUCAUUCCACGCGCUGCUCCGUUCUCAGGACAAAACACCGAAAAAUCCUCAAGAGCCAAGUUCCCAACAUUUAACCUUCUCAAUUCCGCGUUUUCUCUUUCGAUAUCUCUCCUCUGACUAUCUUUGACCAAGCCAAAUGGGUAACUGCAGCAGCCACCUCCCCUCCACGUUCAGCGCUAACGCCGCUGACUCUUCCGCCGCUUCCCGCCUCCCUCCUCCUCCAAAUGGCAUCACGGUCCACCCACCAUACGCCUCUCCCCCGCCUCGCCCUCCACCACCGCAUUCACUGCAACCCUCCAAUCGCCCCUCCUCCACCACUCCCGCUGUGGGCCGAGUCCUCGGUCGUCCCAUGGAGGACGUCCGCAACACAUACACGUUCGGCCGCGAGCUGGGCCGCGGCCAGUUUGGAGUAACCUAUCUCGUCACCCACAAGGAA
RNAcentral lists this unclassified non-coding RNA (445 nucleotides) under Hevea brasiliensis (rubber tree). Lineage: Eukaryota; Viridiplantae; Streptophyta; Magnoliopsida; Malpighiales; Euphorbiaceae. The record is from RNAcentral.